Molecule: long non-coding RNA, 1955 nt
Organism: Bufo gargarizans (Asiatic toad)
Lineage: Eukaryota; Metazoa; Chordata; Amphibia; Anura; Bufonidae
Exons: 3
Source: RefSeq, a predicted model, not a curated record
GGUGGAUUUACCAGCAGGUGUGAAGCAGCAUGAAAACGUAUUAAAAUUCCAUACAAAGUGAAGCGGAAAAAGCAAAGACUCCAGCCAGACAGACUGGGCUACUAAAAGGUUAUGCUGGGACGUGUAGUAAAUCAAAGGGAAGGGAUAAACCAUCAAUUCACUGACAGCAGUUGUAAGGCAUGCAGGUUGCAGGUGGAUACACUCAAUGCUCAUAAAGACACCAGAGAACAAGGAUCUAUCAAAGUCUGACCUUCACAACAUAUGAUUGCCGAAGUGUAUCAUGGCACGACAAGAUUUCUGAGGACCUUAGAAGUAGGGUUGUUGGUGUUCAUCAGGCUGGAAAAGGUUACAGAACCAUCUCUAAAGAGUUUGGACUCCACCAAUUCACAGUUAGACAGCUUGUGUACAAAUGAAAGAAAUUUAAGACCAUUAUUACCGUCCCCAGGAGUGGUCUACCAACAAAGAUCACGCCAAGAUCAAUAAUCCGUGAAGUCACAGAGGAAUCCAAAGUAGCCUCUGAGCAACUAAAGACCUUUCUCAUAUUAUCUAAUGUUAAUGCUCAUCAGGACACUAAACAACCAUGGUGUGCAUGGUGGAAAUGCAAGGAGAAAGCUGCGGCUUUCCAAAAAGAACAUUGAUGCCCAUUUGCAAAAGAUCAACUGGACAAGACAGAAUGCUAUGAAAGCAUCAAAAUAGAACCUUUUGGUUUAAGUCAGAAGUGCUGUGUUUGGAAAAAGAAAAAGACUACAUUCCAGCAUAAAAACCUUAUCCCAUCUGUGAAACACAGUGGUAGUAAUAUCAUAGUUUAGACCUAUUUUGCUGCAUCAGGGACAGGAUGGUUUGCCAUCAUUGAUGGAACAAUGAAUUCUGAAUUAAACCAGCAAAUUCUAUAGCAAAUUGUCAAGACAUUUGUCCGUGAGCUGAAUCUCAAGAGAUUUAAUUGUGCCAUUACUCUGUUAUUCCACCUGAAAGUGUAAGAAUAUAUUGACAAUUGGGUGUGUCCCUGUACAGUCUGACAUUGACAGCACUAAUUAGACAGUGUCAGAGAGUGUAGGGACACGCACCCCAAAUUUCAAUAUCCAGUUGUCAUUCUAUUCCUACAUUUCUAAGAGGAAUGAUAGAAAAAACAUGUAAUACAGCAUUCAGAAUUGUUACUUUUUACUAUAACAGUGGCCCCCUUGCCUGCCGGGCUUUUGUGCAGUUUCAGUUUGUGCAGGACUUUGUUUAUCUCUGGUUGGAACAUCAAUAUGGCGAUUUGAAUUCACAUCAUCUUCAUGACAACGUCACGCCUAAUAUAAACUGGAACAACAAAUGUCAUGAGGAUCUUUCAGCAUUACAACCCCAGACCAAGCAAUAUACACCACCACACGUUCAGUAUACUAUGAGGCACAGGGUUCUGGAUGCUUAAUAUAUAUUUGUUAGGAUCAAUGUAAUAUAAUGAAUUUUAUAGAUGCAUUGGAUGAUUGGAAGCUGAAUAUGCCACUGAUCACUGAUCCUUGAAUACAUGUAUAUACUUCUGCCCUCCAAUGCGUACACUGCUGAAAUGGUUUAUGCUGAUUUAUGGUAAGGCUGACGAAUAGUUUGCCUUUCAUAAUAGGAUUAGUAAAGAUUGUGGCUGCUAAGGACUAUAUGACUAAAGUAGAUUACCGCUGCAUGGUUCCAGUAUCACUAAAGCACGAUCUAAGAGUCCAAAUAACUUUGCUAAUGGGUAUCUUACACAAUAAUUUCUCAUACUUGAGUAGCCAUGGUAUUGAGAUGUGAGCCCAACAUGUACAGAGAGUCAUUGUCUUGUGCAGAUUAAACCAUUGGUAUAUGCUGCUCAUAGCAACCAAUUGGCCUAUUGAGUAGAUGACAGCUACUUUUUUUCAUUGUACUAUGUGUAACUAAUAUUCUGAGUAUGUUGAAACUUACUGUAUUUUUUGGUUUGGAAUGUACAUAAAGUAUAUAAUAAUAUA